GAUGAACGCUGGCGGCGUGCCUAAUACAUGCAAGUCGAGCGAACAGACGAGGAGCUUGCUCCUCUGACGUUAGCGGCGGACGGGUGAGUAACACGUGGAUAACCUACCUAUAAGACUGGGAUAACUUCGGGAAACCGGAGCUAAUACCGGAUAAUAUAUUGAACCGCAUGGUUCAAUAGUGAAAGACGGUUUUGCUGUCACUUAUAGAUGGAUCCGCGCCGCAUUAGCUAGUUGGUAAGGUAACGGCUUACCAAGGCGACGAUGCGUAGCCGACCUGAGAGGGUGAUCGGCCACACUGGAACUGAGACACGGUCCAGACUCCUACGGGAGGCAGCAGUAGGGAAUCUUCCGCAAUGGGCGAAAGCUUGACGGAGCAACGCCGCGUGAGUGAUGAAGGUCUUCGGAUCGUAAAACUCUGUUAUUAGGGAAGAACAAAUGUGGAAGUAACUAUGCACGUCUUGACGGUACCUAAUCAGAAAGCCACGGCUAACUACGUG
RNAcentral lists this ribosomal RNA (497 nucleotides) under uncultured bacterium. RNAcentral describes it as "partial 16S ribosomal RNA". It matches the Rfam family "Bacterial small subunit ribosomal RNA", at positions 28 to 507 of the family's 1533-position model. The record is from RNAcentral.